AAUCAAAUCAAAGUAUAACCUUUCCAUUAAUAAAACAUUUAGCUUAAAACAAAGACUUUACUGACAAUACAAAGUCACAAAAGAAGAUUAUGAAGUUAUAAUCUGACUCCAAACAACAUAAUACAUCUCAAUAUGAAGUAUAAGUUGCAUUUGGUGCUGUUAAAUAGCUCAUUUUUAACUGUGGUUUUCAUUUCUUUCACAAAGUGUGAUAUAACAAUCAUUUACCUCUGAGUGAGAGUCACUGUCUGACUCCACGUCUGACACACUGGAGUGUCCUGAGGCUUCUUCCCUGAGUUCAGUCUUUACCCUCUCCAGACCACCUGGGAAACACAGGAACACACACUGAGCUGAAAUCUUUGGCAUAAAUAUUUCAUGAUAUGUUUUGUUUUGUUAGUACCACUGCUCCUUGAUGCUCACCUCCUCCAGAGGUCCCACCUCCAGCCUCCUCAGCACCUCCCUGGUGUGCUGUUCUAAGAUGUCCAGGUUGGAGGGCAGUUUGGGGGCCUGCCGCUGCUGCUCCCUCAACCGCCUGGCUGCCUUUCUUGCCCGCCGGACCUGGCUCAGCUUCUCCAGUGUGGAGCGAGUGGCCGGGCAGCCGUUUAAUCCAGAUACUACUCCACACCCACUUCCCUGAGAUUUCACUGGCUUGCUACCACUGACUGGUUCCUCCUAUUGAUGUAAAUAGCAAAAAAAAACAACAUGGAAUCAAAUAUCAGUCAUUCACAAGUUCAUUAAUUGCCUGCAAGAAAAUGCAAGAAUUGUUUGCCAUUUAACUUUUUUUUUCCCCCCCCAAAGUUGCCUCAUAAUCAGAUGUCAGUGUGGCUGUCCUGUGUAUCCUGUGUGUGGGACGUGAGGCCGACCUAAGCUGUACGUUACGUAACAAAGGCCAAUGAACUCAACAGAUCAUAAACAGAAUCCUUAUUUGCCAAAAAACAGUUUAGAAAAGGCAAAAAUUACACAAUCUAGCAAGAAAUACAGAUAAUGUACUACACUGGUAAAGAGUGUGUAGGCUGCAGUUCAUUUGUAGCAAUAAGGUUUUUCUUAUUUCUUAAUAUGAAGUGAAAUGGUGUCAAAUAUUGUAAGAAUUGUAAAAAAUCAUAGUUAACUUUCACAAAACUUUUGCUCACUUUUAUUAAUUGGGCACUGCUCCAGUUACUGUUCCAGUUCCCCUAACAAUGUUAAAUAUUCAAUAUUUAUAUAUCCUAUUCUAUGUGGACUUCAACCCUGUACCCUCCCAAAUUAUUGAGUAUAUUAGAUCGCAUACCACUGGGAAGGCUGAUUCUCACCAGUUAGUAAAUCCAUCUAUCCAUCCACCUGCUAACUCCUGAUUGUACAUUUUUCCUUAUAAUUUUAGAAUUGAAUGAGCUAACACGCAAUCUAUGUCCUUUUAGUGACAUAGAAUUUUGUGCUUCAGCAGUCUAAUUAGUUUUUUAGAUCAAGUACCAUUAAUACAUUUCUUUGGGGUUUUUGUGUGUGUGCGCAUCCAGUUAUGCACUUGUAAUGUAACGUGGAUUUGACAUUUAUAUGGGUUGUGUGUGACCACUCCAUAGUGGUUUUCACAUGUAUAUAUCCAGUUCGCAAAUAAUGUGCAAUGUUUUAUCUCCGUUGUCUACAUACACGAGGUUGUUCACACCCUCAUCGUUACCAGAGGAAGAACAUUUGUGGUUGAAACAUGCAAACUGGUAGAAGGAGGAGAAGACAGAAGUGUGUGGGUACUUUUUUUGUUUUCUUUGUGCAGAUUAUUGCUACCCAGCACCUGUUUAAAAUGUAUGGAUGUGCAUGUGCCUCCUGAUAAUAACCACUGCUAACUAAAGGACAUCAUCUCUAGAAAAUUAUUUAAGUACCAUGAUGACAUUUGAUAACGUCCCAGCGUCUAAAGACUGACCGUCCUGAAUUUGUCUCUUGAAAAACAAGUUACAGCAUAAUACAUUUUAUGAUAUUAAAAAAACACCACCGAUGCAUCAA
This is a long non-coding RNA of Micropterus dolomieu (smallmouth bass), 1965 nucleotides long. RefSeq lists it as uncharacterized. The transcript has 2 exons. The record is from RefSeq and is a predicted model, not a curated record. Lineage: Eukaryota; Metazoa; Chordata; Actinopteri; Centrarchiformes; Centrarchidae.